This 408-nucleotide long non-coding RNA is filed under the name Anser brachyrhynchus (Pink-footed goose). Its description in RNAcentral is "lncRNA (ENSABRG00000020886.1)". The record is from RNAcentral. Lineage: Eukaryota; Metazoa; Chordata; Aves; Anseriformes; Anatidae.
GCAAGUAAAGUCAAUUUGGAAGCCAGUGAGAUGGCUGUAGACGCAACCACGCCGUGAGAGGAGCUGCCUUUUCUUCAUGCUACGCGGUCUGGUGGGGAGUGCUUGCGGUGCUGCAGAGGAGAGUUCCCAUCCCUCGUGCACGUCCUUUUGCUCACGAGUCCUUUGUGGGUACAUUGUCUCUACAGGCAAGCUCUGGUUGCCUGUCUGGCAGAGGCAGGGGAACGGUCAGUGUUCACAAAGCUGUUGGGCAAAGUGAAGGAUGCUCAGCCCAUGGAUGCACAGACCCUUGUGUCCUUACUGAAGCUGUUUCAAGAUGUGAAUCCCACGCUGAGAGCAGCCUUGCUGGAGAGGGAACAGGGCAGUGGAGAAGCCCUGCAGCAAACAGAGAGCACGAAAGAGGGAGAGAUG